RNAcentral lists this ribosomal RNA (380 nucleotides) under uncultured eukaryote. RNAcentral's name for it is "partial 18S ribosomal RNA". It matches the Rfam family "Eukaryotic small subunit ribosomal RNA", at positions 592 to 976 of the family's 1831-position model. The record is from RNAcentral.
CAAUAGCGUAUAUUAAAGUUGUUGCAGUUAAAAAGCUCGUAGUUGGAUUUGUGGCUGUCACGGGCGGCCUAUCACUUAGUGUUAGUGCUUGCCUGUGUCGCCAUCCUUGGGUGGGGCCCGUGUGGCAUUAGGUUGUCGUGCGGGGGAUGCCCAUCGUUUACUGUGAGAAAAUUAGAGUGUUCAAAGCAGGCUUAUGCCGUUGAAUAUGUUAGCAUGGAAUAAUAAGAUAGGACCUCGGUACUAUUUUGUUGGUUUGCGCACCGAGGUAAUGAUUAAUAGGGACAGUUGGGGGUAUUCGUAUUUCAUUGUCAGAGGUGAAAUUCUUGGAUUUCUGAAAGACGAACUACUGCGAAAGCAUUUACCAAGGAUGUUUUCAUUAA